GCUGGGCGUGGUGACAUACUCCCGUAAUCCCAGCAAUUUGGGAGGCUGAGGCAGGAGGAUCAUGAAUUGAAAAGCCAGCCUCAGCAACUUAGCAAGGCCCUAAGCAACUCAGUGAGACCCUGUCUCUA
Molecule: small RNA, 128 nt
Filed under: Marmota monax (woodchuck)
Lineage: Eukaryota; Metazoa; Chordata; Mammalia; Rodentia; Sciuridae
Source: RNAcentral